Molecule: ribosomal RNA, 199 nt
Filed under: uncultured bacterium
Lineage: Bacteria
Description: partial 16S ribosomal RNA
Rfam family: Bacterial small subunit ribosomal RNA
Source: RNAcentral
ACGCUCGACACCUACGGGAGCAGCAGUUGGGAAUAUUGGACAAUGGAGGAAACUCUGAUCCAGUGACGCCGCGUGAAGGAAGAAGGUCUUCGGAUUGUAAACUUAUUUUGUCAGGGAAGAAAAAAUGACUGUACCUGAAGAAAAAGCACCGGCUAACUACGUGUCAGCAGCCGCGGUAAUCUGAGCGGGCUGGCAAGGC